RNAcentral lists this ribosomal RNA (253 nucleotides) under uncultured bacterium. RNAcentral describes it as "partial 16S ribosomal RNA". It matches the Rfam family "Bacterial small subunit ribosomal RNA", at positions 524 to 776 of the family's 1533-position model. The record is from RNAcentral.
UACGGGGGGGGCAAGCGUUGUUCGGAAUUACUGGGCGUAAAGGGCUCGUAGGUGGCCAACUAAGUCAGACGUGAAAUCCCUCAGCUUAACUGGGGAACUGCGUCUGAUACUGGAUGGCUUGAGUUUGGGAGAGGGAUGCGGAAUUCCAGGUGUAGCGGUGAAAUGCGUAGAUAUCUGGAGGAACACCAAUGGCGAAGGCAGCUUGCUGGGACGGUACUGACGCUGAGGCGCGAAAGCGUGGGGAGCAAACAGG